Molecule: long non-coding RNA, 3204 nt
Organism: Harpia harpyja (harpy eagle)
Lineage: Eukaryota; Metazoa; Chordata; Aves; Accipitriformes; Accipitridae
Exons: 3
Source: RefSeq, a predicted model, not a curated record
CUGACCUCCACACAGCUCACCACAGUCCCCCCAGUCCGCGGCCAAACACACCACAGCAUCACACACGCCAGAGCAGGCCGCGCAACAAAUAGCCGCACACGUACUCCGCAACCACACCACAGCCGUCCGCACGCAGCCCCUUCACCAACGACAGCACAACCUCCCCAAGCACAGGCACACACGCGGAUCCUCACAGACGACGCACACACGCUGCCAUGUUCCCAGUGGCUCAGAGGAGCCAGCCCUGCUCCACGCGGCUCAGCCCCGUGACUCCUGAGCCACCACCCUGCUGGGGGGGCUGCAAUCCCCACUGCUGGUGCUCCGGGCCCACUGUGAAGCCAAGGCUUCGGACCAGGGCCGCUCCCCACAUCCCGCCCAGCUCCUCCUGGCACACCUCUCUCCCACUUCACCAUCAGAUUUUCAGCAGCAGGUGUUACCACAGAAGCCUGGGGCUGCUUUCAUGUACGCCCUGAGACAACACUGUCCCUUCUGGUGUCACCUUGCCCCUGGUAACUGUAGGCCUCCUCCUGCAUUAGAGCUGGGAUUUUCAACAUUACUCAAUGAAGGCUGAGCUGCUUCUGACUUUUCUGAGCCUCAGGUGACGUUCCCUCGUUUUAGGUCUUUCUCAAAUCCUAGGACCCCAGGGCUUGUUACUGUCAUCCUCCAUCGCUAGAAGCAACUCCAUCUAUUUCACUCCUGACUAUGAAUUUUCUAAGGCCUUUGGAUGCGCUUCCUGAGAUACAAGGGGGCAAUGGGAACCCAGCGCCUUGCAAAUGGAUCAAAUCUGCAGGCUGAGAAGGCAGUCUCCGAGGCUGAAGCCCUCUGAAAGGUGUACCUCAAGCUGAGCAGACAAAACAGGUCACAAAGCCCUUUGUGAAACUCUUGGAUGCAGGGAGGAGGAGGAAUUCAUUAAUUCAGCAAACAAGAUUUCACCCAGGGCAAAUUCUGCAUCACAUCACCUCAGCAUUACCAGAGUCCUUACAGCACCACGUGGAGCAGGAAGGUCUUGCCUGCUGAAGGAAGCCUGUACAGAACAGCAACAGGGGGAAGGAGGGGAAAGAAGGAGAAAAGAGGAAAUAUCUGGUUUCGAUCAACUCCUUAAAAAUAGAAGUCUGAUUACCAUUGCCCAUUUCUGAUUCCCCAAGGGAGAGCAGGAGAAGAAGAAUCUAUAAAUAGCUUGCAACACAGAGAAUCCUAUAGCAAAGUUGCUGGGAAAGAUCAAUAGCAUGAUUCAAGGAGGGCUCCAAAUUACAUCUCAGGGGAGGGAGGUGCUGAACGGAAUUGAUAAAUGAGUUGCAAAUGCUGUGUGUGUUGUGUGUAUCUAAUUAACGGAGGGUGACUGGGAUCAAUAGCAACGAAGGAGCUGGUCUAAAAAUAGCACUCGGGCAGGGAUUGCAACCUGCAGGCAACAGCUUGGAUGGAAAUGUCCCCUGGAGUAAUUAACCUUUAGCUGGAAAGUGGUGGUUAGCGUGGGAUCAAAGUGGAGCCUGUGGGCAGCUGGGAAGGGAUGAGGUCUCCGUGGGACUUCAGGGCACAGAGUAGCGUGACAGUCAUGGAGGGUAUAGGCACGGCCAUGAGCUUGCAGCCUUCCUCUGAUCAGGCUGCAGUGUCAAGCUGCGGAUUGAUGUAGUGCUUUCUGGAGAAAUAAUCUGAGUAUUAGCAUUUUGCUGGCGUUGUGGAACUGGAAGUAUUUGUAGUUCUGUGUACUUGCAAAGGUUUCAACAUUGCUUAGAGAAAAAAUCACAGUCAUUUUUUAAACAUCAAUUUAUAUCUACAAGAAUUUGGGUUUUUCUUCUUUUAUGCUGACCUUGUUGCCAAGAAAGUAUCCACCUCUGAGAACCAGUCUUUGCUCAUCCAGACUCACCAACAGAAGUCCAUAUUUGAACCACAGAGCAAAUAAUGUCCAAAAAGACGUGUCCUUCAAUCUUUCCAUCUACAGCAGAGCAGUCAAGCAAACUUCAGGGAGAAGGAUUGACGUUGGACAGGAUGAUCUAUGGCUCAGCUCUUGGGCUCUUCUGGAGCACCAGGCUGAGCUGGCAUCACCCAAGUGAGAGGCAAAGACACAUACACCCAGGAACAGAAAGUUCGUUGUCUGCCUCAGUGCAGGAUUGGGACCCAGGGUGUACAGCAUGACUGAAAGAAAAGGAAACCAUAAAGAUGAAGAAUCUAGAAAAUAUAUCUUUGUAAAGCUGGCAUGGAAAGGAUUAGAGGGGUUAUCAAGAAACCAUUUUCUUGAAACAGUGGCACGAAGAUGGUCAGAAUGGCAGUUCUGGUUCAGGGCCAAGGUUCAUUUAGCCCAGAAGUUUCUCUUCUGCAGAGGCUGUAGCAGACAUGAGGGAGAAAUGCAAACAGAACAAAGCUUGUGCAUGGCAGAAAGGGUGAGUUCACUUCUCAAUAUACAAGCCAAAGGUCUCUUCCAGGACUGCUGUGAAGGAUUUGGAAGAUGUUUCACUCAAACACAAAUUUAUAUAUAGGCACAAAGCUUUCAUUAAACAUGAGCAGCUAAGGGGACAGCAUCAGUCACUGAUGGUAAUGUAUGCACAUCUUGUAGGCACACUGUAGAGGAACAAGCUGCCUUGCAGAAAUUAAUACAGCAAAGGUGUUGAUUAUUGAUGCAUUUGUUACUGAAUUGACUCCGCCUAAGUUUCCAGAGCCAAUGUGACUUCCAGAUCUAUUUGUAGAUUACCAAAUGCUCACAGUGUGACUGUCGCUUUUGCAUUUACUGCAGCAGAUGCCUCAAUGUAAUAUUUGAUGUGUACUUUAGAUGACUACCUUGUGUACCAAAACUGAAUAACCCUGAAUAAGAAUAAGUCUUUGAGAACCUGGCAAAGUAGAAAGGAAAAUCCCUGUACUGGUACAGCCUUCUCCAUCAUCACCAAAGGUAACGGAGCCACAAAGAUCCAGAGCGCUGCGAGAGACGUCUACCUGUAGCAAUGGGUACUGUGUUUUGAUGCAACAAAUUCUGAAUGAAUUUGUGGAAGUGUGCAUUUUGUUAAAAUCACCACUGAAGAAGGAAAUCAAUUGCUUAGGGGGCUUCCUGGCUAGUGCAGUAAGCUACAACUGUUACUAAUGGAAUGCCACUGUAAAGGGAAAAUAGGAGCUAUCAUGAGUAUUUGCUGUAGAAUUGUCUUGUCCAGAAGAAAAGACUCCAUAUUGCUUGGAAUAUUUAAAAUAAGGCUGAAUAAAAUGUGCUGGUUUACCUUA